UUAGGAAUUUUGGGCAAUGGGGGAAACCCUGACCCAGCAACGCCGCGUGGGUGAUGACGGCCUUCGGGUUGUAAAGCCCUUUUCCAGGGGAAGAUAGUGACGGUACCCUGGGAAUCAGCCCCGGCUAACUACGUGCCAGCAGCCGCGGUAAUACGUAGGGGGCAAGCGUUGUCCGGAAUCAUUGGGCGUAAAGCGCGUGUAGGCGGCCAUCCAAGUCCGAUGUGAAAGCUCGGGGCUCAACCCCGAGUCUGCAUUGGAAACUGGAUGGCUUGAGUCCGGAAGAGGAGACUGGAAUUCCUGGUGUAGCGGUGAAAUGCGCAGAUAUCAGGAAGAACACCGGUGGCGAAGGCGGGUCUCUGGGACGGUACUGACGCUGAGACGCGAAAGCGUGGGGAGCAAACA
RNAcentral lists this ribosomal RNA (402 nucleotides) under uncultured prokaryote. RNAcentral's name for it is "bacterial SSU rRNA". It matches the Rfam family "Bacterial small subunit ribosomal RNA", at positions 355 to 774 of the family's 1533-position model. The record is from RNAcentral.